Molecule: non-coding RNA, 458 nt
Organism: Phascolarctos cinereus (koala)
Lineage: Eukaryota; Metazoa; Chordata; Mammalia; Diprotodontia; Phascolarctidae
Source: RefSeq, a predicted model, not a curated record
GGGCCCUGGAAACAGGUUCAGGUGAAAGGCCAGCUCAAUUCCCCAAAGUCCCCAAGGUAAGGAGAGACAAAACUGGGACAAAGAAUAUUCUGCCAUCUCCACGCAGCAAGGCGGCUAAGAAAAGUGCUGAUUUGGGAGGCAAGAUCCAGACAGCUACUACCUGCAUGACCAUGGGCAAGUUAUAAUCCCAUGAAGAACAAGUUGAACAGAUACAUCUGCUGGCAGAAAAUAGGUUCUCACUUCCAGGAGCUAGUAUAGUGUUUUUCAGAGUAGGCAAUUAAAUGUUUAUUGAAUUCAACACCUGGGGACUUUGAGGGGCUUCCAAGAAAGAAGGGAGCAACGCUGGCCCCAAGGAUUCCUUUGCUGCACUCCACUGAGAUCCCAGUAGAAAAAUCUGAGAGUCAGGGGACCUGGGUUGGAAGCCCUACCACUUAGCUAGCUGUGGGACUCUGGGCAGG